This 107-nucleotide non-coding RNA is filed under the name Natranaerobius trueperi. RNAcentral's name for it is "TPP sequence". It matches the Rfam family "TPP riboswitch aptamer (THI element)". From Rfam's summary of the family: Vitamin B(1) in its active form thiamin pyrophosphate (TPP) is an essential coenzyme that is synthesised by coupling of pyrimidine and thiazole moieties in bacteria. Lineage: Bacteria; Bacillati; Bacillota; Clostridia; Natranaerobiales; Natranaerobiaceae. The record is from Rfam by way of RNAcentral.
AAAGAAAAGCAGGGGUGCCUUUUAUGGCUGAGAAAGGUCUUUUUUAGACCUUACCCUUCGAACCUGCCCUGGCUAAUACCAGCGUAGGGAGCUUCAAUUUCAGAUAU